GGGUCACAUCGCGUUGAAACACCGAUUCCCGUACGAUCACCGAAAUUAAGCAACGUCGAGCCGGUUCAGUACCGAGAUGGCUGAUCGCUUGUGAU
Molecule: non-coding RNA, 95 nt
Organism: Acanthosepion pharaonis
Lineage: Eukaryota; Metazoa; Mollusca; Cephalopoda; Sepiida; Sepiidae
Source: the annotation of a GenBank genome assembly